GAUGAACGCUGGCGGCGUGCCUAAUACAUGCAAGUCGAGCGAACAGACGAGGAGCUUGCUCCUCUGACGUUAGCGGCGGACGGGUGAGUAACACGUGGAUAACCUACCUAUCAGACUGGGAUAACUUCGGGAAACCGGCGCUAAUACCGGAUAAUAUAUUGAACCGCAUUGUUCAAUAGUGAAAGACGGUUUUGCUGUCACUUAUAGAUGGAUCCGCGCCGCAUUAGCUAGUUGGUAAGGUAACGGCUUACCAAGGCAACGAUGCGUAGCCGACCUGAGAGGGUGGUAGGCCGCACUGGAACGGAGCCGCGGUCAAGACUCCUAAGGGAGGGAGCAGUAGGGAAUCGUCCGCAAUAGGCGAAAGCAUGACGGAGCAACGGCGAGUGAGAGAUGAAGGUCUUCGGAUCGUAAAACUCGGUUAUUAGGGAAGAACAAAUGUGUAAGUAACUAUGCACGUCGUGACGGUACCUAAUCAGAAAGCCACGGCUAACUACGUG
This 497-nucleotide ribosomal RNA is filed under the name uncultured bacterium. RNAcentral describes it as "partial 16S ribosomal RNA". It matches the Rfam family "Bacterial small subunit ribosomal RNA", at positions 28 to 507 of the family's 1533-position model. The record is from RNAcentral.